RNAcentral lists this ribosomal RNA (87 nucleotides) under Acidaminobacter hydrogenoformans DSM 2784. Lineage: Bacteria; Bacillati; Bacillota; Clostridia; Peptostreptococcales; Acidaminobacteraceae. The record is from RNAcentral.
GUUCCCAUCUCGAACACAGAAGUUAAGCCUUUCAUCGCUGAUGGUACUUGGGGGGCAGCCCCCUGGGAGAGUAAGUCGUCGCCGGGU